AAAUUGAAGAGUUUGAUCAUGGCUCAGAUUGAACGCUGGCGGCAGGCCUAACACAUGCAAGUCGAACGGUAGCACAGAGAGCUUGCUCU
This 89-nucleotide ribosomal RNA is filed under the name Citrobacter freundii. RNAcentral's name for it is "partial 16S ribosomal RNA". It matches the Rfam family "Bacterial small subunit ribosomal RNA", at positions 1 to 86 of the family's 1533-position model. RNAcentral also lists the same sequence under 13 other names. The record is from RNAcentral. Lineage: Bacteria; Pseudomonadati; Pseudomonadota; Gammaproteobacteria; Enterobacterales; Enterobacteriaceae.